AUUGAACGCUGGCGGCAUGCUUUACACAUGCAAGUCGAACGGUAACAGGCCGCAAGGUGCUGACGAGUGGCGCACGGGUGAGUAAUGCAUCGGAAAGUGCCCAGUCGUGGGGGGUAACUACUCGAAAGAGUAGCUAAUACCGCAUACGAUCUAUGGAUGAAAGAGGGGGACCGUAAAGCCUCGCGCGAUUGGAGCGGCCGAUGUCAGAUUAGGUAGUUGGUGGGGUAAAGGCUCACCAAGCCAACGAUCUGUAGCUGGUCUGAGAGGACGACCAGCCACACUGGGACUGAGACACGGCCCAGACUCCUACGGGAGGCAGCAGUGGGGAAUUUUGGACAAUGGGCGCAAGCCUGAUCCAGCAAUGCCGCGUGCAGGAAGAAGGCCUUCGGGUUGUAAACUGCUUUUGUACGGAACGAAACGGCUCUGGUUAAUACCCGGGGCUAAUGACGGUACCGUAAGAAUAAGCACCGGCUAACUACGUG
This 482-nucleotide ribosomal RNA is filed under the name uncultured bacterium. RNAcentral describes it as "partial 16S ribosomal RNA". It matches the Rfam family "Bacterial small subunit ribosomal RNA", at positions 30 to 507 of the family's 1533-position model. The record is from RNAcentral.